AACGAACGCUGGCGGCAGGCCUAACACAUGCAAGUCGAGCGAGGACUUCGGUCCUAGCGGCGGACGGGUGAGUAACGCGUGGGAACGUGCCCUUUGCUUCGGAAUAGCUCUGGGAAACUGGGAGUAAUACCGGAUGAGCCCUUUGGGGGAAAGAUAUAUCGGCGAAGGAUCGGCCCGCGUUGGAUUAGGUAGUUGGUGGGGUAAUGGCCUACCAAGCCGACGAUCCAUAGCUGGUUUGAGAGGAUGAUCAGCCACACUGGGACUGAGACACGGCCCAGACUCCUACGGGAGGCAGCAGUGGGGAAUCUUAGACAAUGGGGGAAACCCUGAUCUAGCCAUGCCGCGUGAGCGAUGAAGGCCUUAGGGUUGUAAAGCUCUUUCAGCUGGGAAGAUAAUGACGGUACCAGCAGAAGAAGCCCCGGCUAACUCCGUG
This 433-nucleotide ribosomal RNA is filed under the name uncultured bacterium. RNAcentral describes it as "partial 16S ribosomal RNA". It matches the Rfam family "Bacterial small subunit ribosomal RNA", at positions 29 to 507 of the family's 1533-position model. The record is from RNAcentral.